GAUGAACGCUGGCGGCGUGCCUAAUACAUGCAAGUCGAGCGAACGGACGAGAAGCUUGCUUCCCUGAUGUUAGCGGCGGACGGGUGAGUAACACGUGGAUAACCUACCUAUAAGACUGGGAUAACUUCGGGAAACCGUAGCUAAUACCGGCUAAUAUUUUGAACCGCAUGGUUCAAAAGUGAAAGACGGUCUUGCUGUCACUUAUAGAUGGAUCCGCGCUGCAUUAGCUAGUUGGUAAGGUAACGGCUUACCAAGGCAACGAUGCGUAGCCGACCUGAGAGGGUGAUCGGCCACACUGGAACUGAGACGCGGUCCAGACUCCUACGGGAGGCAGCAGUAGGGAAUCUUCCGCAAUGGGUGAAAGCCUGACGGAGCAACGCCGCGUGAGUGAUGAAGGUCUUCGGAUCGUAAAACUCUGUUAUUAGGGAAGAACAUAUGUGGAAGAAACUGUGCACAUCUUGACGGUACCUAAUCAGAAAGCCACGGCUAACUACGUG
RNAcentral lists this ribosomal RNA (497 nucleotides) under uncultured bacterium. RNAcentral's name for it is "partial 16S ribosomal RNA". It matches the Rfam family "Bacterial small subunit ribosomal RNA", at positions 28 to 507 of the family's 1533-position model. The record is from RNAcentral.